AUGGGAGAGAUUCAGGUAGAUUUGAACUGUCAUCAUCAAUCAAGACCAAGGAGAAGGCUGCUUUCCAGGAUGUACACAUGGCCUCUGUUUGCUGUUGCUGUUUUGCUUCUUUUAAGAGGUGAACCAAUAUAUGUAUGUCUGUUUCUACUGUCACUUGCAGCUCAACAGAACCCUGUAAUAUACAUGAACAAGUUUCUGGAAGUUAAGAGGUAAGUAACUGCUCAUGUCAUAUUCUCUUUCUUAGAGUUCUGGAAUCAGGAGAACAUCUAUCAUGGAGCAAAUACACUUCCAUUCAAAUUGGAGUUAGCAUAUAACAUAUACAUUAUAUGAAGCAAUAAACAAUUAUUUUAUAUGGCAAUAGUCUAAAUAUAACAUGGCUCUGCAUUUUGGGGCAUGCCAAAAUAUAUAAAAUCCAUGAUAAAUUCUCAGCUCUCCUGAAUCUUCCCAUGAUACCACUAAGAAUUUCAUAACCCAAAGACCAAGAUAGAAAAUAUGUUUUCUCAGAGACUAGGGUCACCCCAGAGUAAAACUUUAAGUGCAGAUUACCUCAGAUCCCUGCAAAACUGAUCUGCCUCUGAGAAAAGAACUAGCCAAAAUAUUCUUUUUGAUGACAGGGUUGAAGUUCGGGAUAGAAAUGUAAAUGUGUUCGGACAUACUGAGAAAUAAAUCACAUUGAAGAGAUGGAGAAAGGAGUUGCUGGAGAGGCAAAAUGAAAAGGCAGAUGCUAAGGAACUGCACAAAAAGAAAAAAUGUAUCCUAAUUGGGGCAGUGUGAACUUGUCAGACAGGGAAGAAGCAUGAAGUCAUAAAUUGCUUAGAGAAUUAUAGCAGUACCUUGACAUAGUAGGAAAAAGAAAGCUUAUGUGUACUCAAGAUCUGAAUUCAAGUUCUGGCUCUAUCUCUUACUGGAUGUGAGAUGCUGGACAAGGUCCUUCUCUAUUUCAAUUCUGUCAUUCAAAUCUAUGAAUUCAAAAAUUUGAAUUAACCACCAAAGCCCCCUUUGGCUGUCAAUUUUAAUCUGCAGUGACAUCCUGGUGGGUUGAAAUUUAAGACAGUCAUUAAUGGAUAAUAAACAAAGACCAUUUGUGUAGGAGUUUACCCCAUGUGUAUGGGUCUUAUUCUUAGUAAUUUGGGAAAAUAUAGAAUGUGAAUGGGGCAAUCUUGAAUUGUGAGGAGGAGCUCAUUUUAUCAGGCAAGAUCCCGAUUUUCAAAUCGGUACCUGAAUGUUGCUUAUUUGAUUAAACUCUGGUAUACAGAAAGCAUUAGCUUCAGCAUUAUGCCUCUACUACAUAGGAGAAGAACUAAAUUAGAAGGAAAUAGAUGUUUGACUGACUUAGAGAAAUAUUGAAAGAGUGGAUUGAUGAUGCUUUCCAGGACCAUUUAAUUUGACUGAUAUAAUAAAAAUCUUGGCAGUAAUGAGAGUCUUCUGAAUUAAAACCAGCCACGUUUUCUCAUUAAUAUAUUACUAUUGGUGAAAUUUUGUUUUAGAUGGUCUUCCAAAGCAGGAAAUAUUUCCAAAAUAAUUAAUUAUCACAGGCCAGGCGUGGUGAUUCAUGCCUGUAAUCCUGGCACUUUGGGAGGCCAAGGCGGGUGGAUCACUUGAGGUCAGGGGUUCGAGACCAGCCUGACCAACAUGGUGAAAGCCAGUCUCUACUAAAAAUACAAAAAUUAGCUGGGUGUGGUGGGUUAUGCCUGUAAUCCCAGCUACUUGGGAGGCUGAGACAGGAGAAUCACUUGAACCCGGGAGGCGGAGGUUGCAGUGAACCGAGAUUGCGACAUUGCAUUCCAGCCUGGGCAACAGGAAUGAAACUCCAUCUCAGUUAAAAAAAUAUAUAUAUCACAAAAGGUGGAAGAUGGGAUUGGUUCUCUUCACUCAUUUUUUCAAGCAAGAGACUUCUCAACUGUGUAUAUUUGUAUAU
Molecule: long non-coding RNA, 1918 nt
Filed under: Pan troglodytes (chimpanzee)
Lineage: Eukaryota; Metazoa; Chordata; Mammalia; Primates; Hominidae
Description: lncRNA (ENSPTRG00000053085.1)
Source: RNAcentral